Oncorhynchus keta (chum salmon) is the source of this 1880-nucleotide RNA transcript. RefSeq lists it as uncharacterized. The transcript has 8 exons. Lineage: Eukaryota; Metazoa; Chordata; Actinopteri; Salmoniformes; Salmonidae. The record is from RefSeq and is a predicted model, not a curated record.
UGGAGUUACUACAGAUCUAAUCCAGGACCCAGAGUAUGCAGAUCGAGUUAAGUAUCAACCAACUACAGACAAGGACUCCACCCUGAGAAUCACAGACCUGAGAGAGAGUGACUCUGCUGAAUAUAAGUUUAGAUUUAUAACAACUGCGGUAAAAUGGGGAAACAGCUUCCCUGGAAUAACUCUGUCACAGACCUGCAGGUGAAGGAGACUCCUGGCACAGAGGAAGAGAAGGUGACACUGACCUGUAGCACCACCUGUACUCUAACUGACAACCCCACCUACAUCUGGUACAAGAACGGACAACUUCUCACCAACCCAAACACCCAAGAUAACUACCUCUACUUAGACCAAAUCAGCAGUGGGGACGCAGGCAGCUACUCCUGUAGUGUUAAAGGCUACGAGAAUAUCCGUUCUCCUGUUACAUUCUUUGGGGAGCCAAAGUCUUUGAAGAAUGCAGUUGUAGGAAUCAUAGUGGUUAUUCUAAGUCUCAUACUCUGUCUCUUUGGGUUCAUGUGGUUCAGGAAGAAGGCCUCCAAAUCCACCUCUGACACAAGAGACAGAAGAGACACAGCAGAGAACGGACAGAGAGACUCUAAUCCAGUGUAUGACAACAUCUCAGGCAUGAACUUGGCCCCUAUUGCAGCACAGAGAGCGAUCACAGACGAGCAGGGUGACAUUACCUACGCCAGCAUCCAACACAGAAACCAGGAAGUGCCUCUUGACUCCACCGUCCCACCGUCUCACCCCCAGAAACAGGACGAGGAUUUCCAGUACACUACUGUGAAAUUCAACAGCCCCAGUGCUGCUCAAUAGACAUUGGGAGGGAUUCAAUCCAAUCAUAGGUUAUAGACAUUGGGAGGGAUUCAAUCCAAUCAUAGGUUAUAGACAUUGGGAGGGAUUCCAUCCAAUCAUAGGUUAUAGACAUUGGGAGGGAUUCCAUCCAAUCAUAGGUUAUAGACAUUGGGAGGGAUUCCAUCCAAUCAUAGGUUAUAGACAUUGGGAGGGAUUCCAUCCAAUCAUAGGUUAUAGACAUUGGGAGGGAUUCAAUCCAAUCAUAGGUUAUAGACAUUGGGAGGGAUUCCAUCCAAUCAUAGGUUAUAGACAUUGGGAGGGAUUCAAUCCAAUCAUAGGUUACAGACAUUGGGAGGGAUUCCAUCCAAUCAUAGGUUAUAGACAUUGGGAGGGAUUCCAUCCAAUCAUAGGUUAUAGACAUUGGGAGGGAUUCCAUCCAAUCAUAGGUUAUAGACAUUGGGAGGGAUUCAAUCCAAUCAUAGGUUAUAGACAUUGGGAGGGAUUCCAUCCAAUCAUAGGUUAUAGACAUUGGGAGGGAUUCCAUCCAAUCAUAGGUUAUAGACAUUGGGAGGGAUUCCAUCCAAUCAUAGGUUAUAGACAUUGGGAGGGAUUCCAUCCAAUCAUAGGUUAUAGACAUUGGGAGGGAUUCAAUCCAAUCAUAGGUUAUAGACAUUGGGAGGGAUUCCAUCCAAUCAUAGGUUAUAGACAUUGGGAGGGAUUCCAUCCAAUCAUAGGUUAUAGACAUUGGGAGGGAUUCAAUCCAAUCAUAGGUUAUAGACAUUGGGAGGGAUUCCAUCCAAUCAUAGGUUAUAGACAUUGGGAGGGAUUCCAUCCAAUCAUAGGUUAUAGACAUUGGGAGGGAUUCCAUCCAAUCAUAGGUUAUAGACAUUGGGAGGGAUUCCAUCCAAUCAUAGGUUAUAGACAUUGGGAGGGAUUCCAUCCAAUCAUAGGUUAUAGACAUUGGGAGGGAUUCCAUCCAAUCAUAGGUUAUAGACAUUGGGAGGGAUUCCAUCCAAUCAUAGGUUAUAGACAUUGGGAGGGAUUCCAUCCAAUCAUAGGUUAUAGACAUUGGGAGGGAUUCCAUCCAA